CAAUAGCGUAUAUUAAAGUUGUUGCAGUUAAAAAGCUCGUAGUUGGAUUUCUGGUAGGAGUGACCGUUCCGAACUUGAUUGUUCGUGUAUUGUGUUUUCUCCAGCCAUCCUUGUGGAGAACUUUUCUUGCAUUAAUUUGUAGGGAUUGGGACCCGCAUCGUUUACUGUGAAAAAAUUAGAGUGUUUAAAGCAGGCAAUCGCUUGAAUACAUUAGUAUGGAAUAAUAAGAUAGGACUUUGGUACUAUUUUGUUGGUUUGCAUACCAAAUUAAUGAUCAACAGGAACAGUUUGAGGAUAUUCGUAUGAACAUGUCAGAGGUGAAAUUCUUGGAUUUUGAUCAGACGAACUACUGCGAAAGCAUUUAUCAAGGAUGUUUUCAUUAA
RNAcentral lists this ribosomal RNA (383 nucleotides) under uncultured eukaryote. Its description in RNAcentral is "partial 18S ribosomal RNA". It matches the Rfam family "Eukaryotic small subunit ribosomal RNA", at positions 592 to 976 of the family's 1831-position model. The record is from RNAcentral.